This is a long non-coding RNA of Helianthus annuus (common sunflower), 370 nucleotides long. RefSeq lists it as uncharacterized. NCBI's taxonomy places the organism in Eukaryota, Viridiplantae, Streptophyta, Magnoliopsida, Asterales, Asteraceae. The transcript has 3 exons. The record is from RefSeq and is a predicted model, not a curated record.
AUUUGAUUCCACCUGAGAAAAGGUCUUUCAUUCAUAAGCUAUCCUUUAAUAUGCUACAAAAGAAAAGAUGAAAUAGCUAAACAACUCCAGUGCGGAUCCAAACAGAACGCUAACAUGACAAGGUGAAGCCUACCCACGUGUUCAAUGCUGCCAGAGUCACCGGUCGUCUGAACGUUGACUGAUGUGUGCCGCACAAGGUGGGUCUCUCUCUGUGUGUGAAGGGAUGCUGAAUUUAUAAGACUAUCAAAAACGCAAACAUGGAUGGUAACAGUGAAUACAUCAUCCUGGAGUAGAAACCAAUCCUUAAAGGGGGUUGGCGAAGAAGAAAAGAGAAAUAGGUAAAGUAACAUCCAUCAGAGAAAUGUGAAAU